RNAcentral lists this ribosomal RNA (253 nucleotides) under uncultured bacterium. RNAcentral describes it as "partial 16S ribosomal RNA". It matches the Rfam family "Bacterial small subunit ribosomal RNA", at positions 524 to 776 of the family's 1533-position model. The record is from RNAcentral.
UACGUAGGUGACAAGCGUUGUCCGGAUUUAUUGGGCGUAAAGAGCUCGUAGGCGGCUCGUUGCGUCGGCUGUGAAAACCCGCAGCUCAACUGUGGGCUUGCAGCUGAUACGGGCGGGCUGGGAUUCGGUAGGGGAGACUGGAAUUCCUGGUGUAGCGGUGAAAUGCGCAGAUAUCAGGAGGAACACCGGUGGCGAAGGCGGUUCUCUGGGCAUUACCUGACGCUGAGGAGCGAAAGUGUGGGGAGCGAACAGG